GAGACUUAGAGUCUCCUGAAGGAACGUUGAAGACGACGACGUUGAUAGGCCGGGUGUGUAAGCGCAGCGAUGCGUUGAGCUAACCGGUACUAAUGAACCGUGAGGCUUAACCUUACAACGCCGAAG
Molecule: ribosomal RNA, 126 nt
Filed under: Salmonella enterica subsp. enterica serovar Infantis
Lineage: Bacteria; Pseudomonadati; Pseudomonadota; Gammaproteobacteria; Enterobacterales; Enterobacteriaceae
Also listed under: 5 other names
Description: partial 23S ribosomal RNA
Rfam family: Bacterial large subunit ribosomal RNA
Source: RNAcentral